AUCGAUACGAAGUAUCAGUACAACUGCAUUCAGACGGCAGGUGGAAUUUUGAUUCUCGAACGGUUACAAAUUGUAUCUGGUAACUGGUAACUAGUAUCUGUAUCUGGUAGCCUGCGCAAUCAAUUUCAAUUAGGAGCUGGUCUAAUUGCUCUCACGCCAGGCGACCAGAUGACAAAUGGCAGCAGUCGGAAAAGCAGGGAAACAUAAUGGGCAUUAGAAACGCAUGUAUAAAAACACGCAGUGUAUUUGUUUGGCGGCUGCUUAGUGUCUUUCAGCACACAUUCACUUUGCUGAAAUUAAUUUGCACUGCACUCUGCGGUUGCCGCUCAUCCCGAUGGAUUGCAAUCCGAUGGAUUUCUGUGACAUGCGGUGAUAAAACGCUAAUCAGCCGCCGCGCUGCUCCCGUUACCUGUGCAAUCCACCUGUGCGGCGGAGCAGGUGCAGCAGAUGCGAGCUGCGAGUGGCGAGAGUGCCGAUGCAGAUGCAGAUGCCAGAUGCGGAUUUCCGUCGCUGUUGCCUCGGCAAUCAGAAGUCGGGCAGCGGACUCGAAUCGCAACGUUCUCGACGCGUCACAUGAACUUUUCAGACUGAGCGGCAACUCGGAAGCGAGCGGCCAGCCGAGCCGAAAAAAACAAACGAGAGCGGAGCGGCCAAAGAACGGCGACGCCGACGCCAACGCCGCCGGUCGCCGGUGGCAGAGGCAGCAGCAGCAGCAGAGAUAGUACCAGUAGCCAGCGUGGGCGUGCUCGCAUGAACAUCCACUCGGAAUCGGAAUUGGAUUCGGACUCGGAAUCCGAGUGAGUGAGUGAAAACGAAAGCGGAGCAAGGCGGUCGCCACUGGCCAAAUCGGGAUGAGGUCGAAAGUCGAAGGUUUUAAAACCACUUUCGAUUUCAGCUAAGUGAAAUAUUAUAGAGCUAACUUCUGAGUAUGACCAUAUAUAUUUCAAAAUCAUUAGAUAAAUAUAAAUAUUAUUUAAACAAGCAAAAUGUUGCACUUUCCCAGAACAUAAAUUUUCAUAAACAGCAGCACAAAGCAGUCGGAACCGAAUAAAUCGGGAUGUGGCCAUAAAUCAAUGGAUACAAUACCCAUCAUGCCAAGCAAUAUGCCUUAAAAUUAAAACCAAUCAAAUGUAAUUGCCACACGUUAAUUGAAAUUCAAAGGAAAAGAAACAAACACUUUCCGCAUAAGAGUUAAAGACACACUUAAAUAAAAUAUUUAUAAACACAGUGUGCCACAAUAUGGGUGUUCCACUCAAAAAAUAUUUAAACUUAAAUAGCAAUGAGCACAAGAUAAACUCGCAUACUAUUGACUGUUCGCAUACACAGAAAGCAGGUGGAAUCCACGACGUGGUGGCCAAAUUUAACUAAACAAUCGCUUUGUG
Molecule: long non-coding RNA, 1382 nt
Organism: Drosophila sechellia
Lineage: Eukaryota; Metazoa; Arthropoda; Insecta; Diptera; Drosophilidae
Exons: 3
Source: RefSeq, a predicted model, not a curated record